UUGAAACAGAAAUUGGGUACUGCUACUCAUGGUUAUUUCAGUGGAAUAUGUGUUCUCUCCCGUUUCUAGAUUACGAGCGUCUGUGUUUGAGAGUAAUUUGAGAAGAGAAAUUGGGAUCUGGGAUCCUUUGCAAUGAAAAUGGAAUGGAGAAAAGCAUUUUGUAACGAAAUCGCCGGUAGGAAAUAUCAGUUUCCCGAAGGAUCCCGAAGAGCGCACCAGGUUACCGAACCGGCACCAGUUUUCCGAGGGAGGCAUCGGGUUUCCUUGCAAAAUUCGAUGUAUAUUCUCUUUGGUCAUGUGUUGAUACAUGAUAGCUAAGAAGUACGGACAUUUCAAAGAAGGUAGCGUGUGGACAUCCUAUAUGCGUUGGGCACCGACAUUUCUUGGGCAGUUCAAAGGUGGUUUUGCAGGGGAGCCUAAAUGUCAAGGCAAAUAGGAGCAUAAAUUCCAUAAUCUAAUGUUGAAAAAGCCCGGCAGGUAAGAAGUUCUUUGAUCAGAUACAUAGUGGAAUACGCCGGCAUUCUGACGAUUUUUGCCAUUACAGUUCAAGCAAGAAACCAUGUAUUAAGAUUUAGAAUUUCUCCAAGAGUGGUGGAAGCAAUAGGUGUCUUUCUAAGACUCUAUUUUCCCUACUUUUUAUUUAUACUUUUUCAUGCCUUUUUGGAUUUUGAUGUUAUCAUCACAAUGAGUUAACUAACUACUUGAGCUAUCAAUGGUUGUGCAUCUUCAUGUGAUUAGUCAUCGUAUUAUUCUAAGAUGGAUCUGUACUAGAAAUAGGAAAAAGGCAUGAGGAUAAAAGAGAGGAAGAAAGGAGAUACAUGAUUCGAGACAUUUGUGUAAUGAGAUUGUUAGAGAUAGGAAGUUGUAGGCAAAGACAAAUCAAUGACGAGAAAAAAAGAGUAAUUAUUUGGCUCAUUUUUUAGUUCCAAUAUUGGAAUUGAAAAGAGAGACAGAUAGAUGAAGAAGAGUGAAUAAUUAUUGGUGCUGAUAAAUUAUGGGUUUGAUUGUAAGAUCUUGUUACUUGGACGAUGUGUUUGUUGAUGUAUAAAGUACUCUCUUUGUAGAAAAAACGAAAUGAACAACUCAAAAUUUAUGUUAAUUACUAACGAUUUAGAAGUUUUUUUCAUUUGUUUGGAAAUAAAAAUAUGGCUGAGCAUUAUGGUCAUCAUUGUGGCACUUUU
This is a long non-coding RNA of Rhododendron vialii, 1181 nucleotides long. RefSeq lists it as uncharacterized. NCBI's taxonomy places the organism in Eukaryota, Viridiplantae, Streptophyta, Magnoliopsida, Ericales, Ericaceae. The transcript has 4 exons. The record is from RefSeq and is a predicted model, not a curated record.